AAAAAAAUUCCGAAUGGGUUCUAUCUGCACAAGAAACAAAACUUCAGAUCUGGGAAACUUCAAUGCUAAGCUGCAACAAGAUAAGCAACAAAUCAAUUAGUGCAACGAUAAACCACAACAGCAAUAACUACUGCAAAUUCCACAUGAUAUUAGAUGUACAAGUACUAAAAAAAUGAAAAGAAUUUGGCUGUUUAAGGGAAGAAGAGAAACAGAGGACUGGAAGAAUAUUUUAUAGAUACAGAAGUUUAUUUACAUUGACCAAAAGACUAAUGGCCUACAAUGCAAACCAAAGAAACACGUAGGUAAAGCCACAAAUUAUGUAUGAAUCUGCAUAGGGCAUUUGCAACGAAUAGCCUACAAAUAAUGAGAAGGAACAUCUUAAUGAAUCUAAUAAUUUCAAGCGAAAUAGAUCAACUGGGCUAAAAACUGGCACCUUGACAGCAUCAUUGCUCUGCCUCUAUGGGAACUUUACAGAACAAAUACUUUGCUUCUUUGGCCUGAACAAGACCAUCACUGAGGAGCACAUCAGUGUCACAUCAUCCCAAAUUCAUUUAACAGUCAAAUAUCAGUAGGAUUUUAUUUCUUUUGCUACAUUAUAGUGCUAAAUGGAAAGUAUAAACUGUUUCAUUAAUCUCCUGAGACAAAUUUGUUCCGGCAUAUACACUCACAAGCCACAUCCAACAUAAUUAAAUGAACAGGAAGAAACACUUCUGUUAUACCAUGGUUCACAGAUUGCCAAAGCUGUCA
This 747-nucleotide unclassified non-coding RNA is filed under the name Hevea brasiliensis (rubber tree). The record is from RNAcentral. Lineage: Eukaryota; Viridiplantae; Streptophyta; Magnoliopsida; Malpighiales; Euphorbiaceae.